RNAcentral lists this unclassified non-coding RNA (175 nucleotides) under uncultured fungus. RNAcentral describes it as "sequence contains ITS1". Lineage: Eukaryota; Fungi. The record is from RNAcentral.
CACAAUACAAUAUGAAGGCUGUGUGACGUUCAUCUUCGCCAGCUGGAUUAUUUUAUUACCCUUGUCUUUUGCGCACUUGUUGUUUCCUGGGCGGGUUCGCCCGCCACCAGGACCACCAUAUAAACCUUUUUUAUGCAGUUGCAAUCAGCGUCAGUAACAAAAUGUAAAUCAUUUA